UGGAUGCAUGUAUGUAAUCGCUUUGGAUAAAAGCAUCUGCAAAAUGGCAAAUU
Molecule: non-coding RNA, 53 nt
Organism: Salmo salar (Atlantic salmon)
Lineage: Eukaryota; Metazoa; Chordata; Actinopteri; Salmoniformes; Salmonidae
Source: Rfam